Molecule: non-coding RNA, 1321 nt
Organism: Anolis sagrei ordinatus
Lineage: Eukaryota; Metazoa; Chordata; Lepidosauria; Squamata; Anolidae
Source: RefSeq, a predicted model, not a curated record
CGCAUCAAAACGUUAAAGGAAAUCAAGCGGGAGAAAGCUCUUCAAAUGCGGCAGGGUGUGGACAGCAAAAAGACACAGCUUCAGCCUGAGAGAACUCCAUUUGAGAGGAGACUGCAAUGCAUUACAAAACCAACAGACAAACGCAAGGCCAGAAAAAAUUAAAACCAAAAAAGACGAGGGAAACGAAAAAGGAAACCUGAAAAACAAAUUCCAACUAAGCAAAGCUCACCAACGAUUAUAACUGUGAAAAACGCAAGGCCAGAAUAAUUUAAGACAGGAAAAGAAGAUGGAAAUGAAAAAGGACCAUUACAGCAGUGGAUGGCUCCCAAAAAGAAUGUGGGUGGCCCAAAGGGCAAGGGCCCAGCCAAGAAGAUGCUUUUAUCACCUGAAGACAAGGGCUUCCACCGCUACCAACACUGAAGGAGCAUGGCCUUGGGAACAGGGCCAGCUGCAUGAGCCGUUACGUUGCCAAACCAGCCAGACGGAGGCCAUUUCACAAGGCAGUAGUUAAGGCCCUGACACUCUAAUUAUUUUGUUAUUGCUAUUUCUUUAAGUUUAUUAAUUAGUAAUUUAACUUUGUUAAUUAGGAUCACUGUACAGUACUUAUUUUCUUGUUGUCUUGUUUGUUCUUCUUUUCAUUACUUCUUUGCUUUGUCCUUUUGUUUCUCUUUAUCUGAAGUUUCUUCUUUUCUUUCUCCUUUCUCUCUGCACCUCCUGCUUCUUUCUUCCUUCUGCAUUGCUCAACUGGUUACUCCUUUCAAAUUUUUUAUGUUCCUCUGUAUCCCUUCCUUUUUGUAUUAUUCGUUCCCCAUCCUCCCACAUACUUUCAGGCACAGCUGGCACUUCACUCAUUCACCCACUCACUCACCCACUCACUCACCCACCCUCUUUCAGACAUAGCAUUUCAUUCAUGCCUUUUCAGUGGAAAGGAAGCCUAGCUGCUAGUAAACUGUUUAUGGUGGGGGAAGCUACCCACCCGCACUGUUCAAAUCAGUAAUAACAAUUUUACCAUCCCAAAAAUGGGGGUGUCACUCUUAUGCAAUUAAGUAUGGUGUUCCAUUAUCUCAUUUAUAGUUAAAGGUAAAGAUUUGCCCCUGACAUUCAGUCGUGUCCGACUCUGGGGGUUGGUGCUCAUCUCCACUUGGAAGCCGAAGAGCCGGCGCUGUCCAUAGACACCUCCAAGGUCAUGUGGCAGGCAUGUCUGCUUGGAGAGUCGAGAUAGAUAGAUAUAUAAUUUGUAUUUAAAUCAUUGCAUCUAAAUCAAAUGUUACUAUUUCUAAACAUAGAUAUUUGUGUUUAAAAUAAAGAUGUCAGAAAUGUA